Molecule: long non-coding RNA, 564 nt
Organism: Apodemus sylvaticus (European woodmouse)
Lineage: Eukaryota; Metazoa; Chordata; Mammalia; Rodentia; Muridae
Exons: 3
Source: RefSeq, a predicted model, not a curated record
UUUUCUCCCUCGGCCCGGGGAGGAGCGGGACAACUCCGAGCUCGAGGGAGCGAGCCAGACCCUGGGCGCGGGUGUAAAUCAGUCACCUGAGCGCCGAGGGGCCUUGGCGAGAGUGCACGAGCGUGGGCGGGUGGGGAGUGGCGCGGGCAGCGAGCACUGCCAGGACAGGCAGGGAGGGAGCAGUCUUAGUGGAGAGCUGAGGCGGCCCAGGGGCGCGGCCGCUAAGAGGAGACCAAGAGGUAGGGGCUGCACUUGAGGACCAGCGUGCUGAGAUGAACUCAACAAAAAUCCAGUGGAAGGCUUUUCAGCAGGUUUAAUAGACGACAAUGAUCUCUAUUGUUGGGAAGUCCUUAUUAUUGGUCCUCCAGAUACACUUUAUUGAUAAAAAUGGUGAUGUUUUGCAUUUCUAUUCUUCAUGAGCCUGGGGAGGAUAAAUAUGGUUAUGAGAAGCCAGAGGAACGCUGUUUACCUAUCCAUACUGUGGAAACCAUCAUUAUUAGUGUCAUUUCUAUGCUGGCAGAUCCUAGUGGAGACUCACCUGCAAAUGUAGAUGCUGCGGUAAGG